Molecule: ribosomal RNA, 497 nt
Filed under: uncultured bacterium
Lineage: Bacteria
Description: partial 16S ribosomal RNA
Rfam family: Bacterial small subunit ribosomal RNA
Source: RNAcentral
GACGAACGCUGGCGGCGUGCCUAAUACAUGCAAGUUGAGCGAUGAAGAUUGGUGCUUGCACCAAUUUGAAGAGCAGCGAACGGGUGAGUAACGCGUGGGGAAUCUGCCUUUGAGCGGGGGACAACAUUUGGAAACGAAUGCUAAUACCGCAUAACAACUUUAAACAUAAGUUUUAAGUUUGAAAGAUGCAAUUGCAUCACUCAAAGAUGAUCCCGCGUUGUAUUAGCUAGUUGUUGAGGUAAAGGCUCACCAAGGCGAUGAUACAUAGCCGACCUGAGAGGGUGAUCGGCCACAUUGGGACUGAGACACGGCCCAAACUCCUACGGGAGGCAGCAGUAGGGAAUCUUCGGCAAUAGACGAAAGUCUGACCGAGCAACGCCGCGGGAGUGAAGAAGGUUUUCGGAUCGUAAAACUCUGUUGGUAGAGAAGAACGUUGGUGAGAGUGGAAAGCUCAUCAAGUGACGGUAACUACCCAGAAAGGGACGGCUAACUACGUG